GUCCUAGCCGUAAACGGUGCGCAUUUGCUGUGAGAGGAUUCGACCCCUUUCGUGGCGAAGCUAACGCGUUAAAUGCGCCGCCUGGGAAGUACGGUCGCAAGAUUAAAACUCAAAGAAAUUGACGGGGGCCUGCACAAGCGGUGGAGUAUGUGGCUUAAUUCGAUGCAACGCGAAGAACCUUACAUGGCCUUGACAUGCAAGUAGUAGAACCCUGAAAGGGGGACGAGGUAGCAAUACCAGCUUGCACAGGUGCUGCAUGGCUGUCGU
RNAcentral lists this ribosomal RNA (267 nucleotides) under uncultured bacterium. RNAcentral describes it as "partial 16S ribosomal RNA". It matches the Rfam family "Bacterial small subunit ribosomal RNA", at positions 793 to 1055 of the family's 1533-position model. The record is from RNAcentral.